UGGGGAAUAUUGGGCAAUGGAGGCAACUCUGACCCAGCAAUGCCGCGUGAGCGAUGAAGGUAGUUUUAUUGUAAAGCUCUUUUCUCUGGAACGAACAAAUGACGGUACCAGAGGAAUAAGCCCCGGCUAACUACGUGCCAGCAGCCGCGGUAAUACGUAGGGGGCGAGCGUUGUCCGGAAUGACUGGGCGUAAAGGGUGUGUAGGUGGUUUGAUAAGUUAGAUGUGUAAUACCCAGGGCUUAACUCGGGUGCUGCAUCUAAAACUGUUAGACUUGAGUACUGGAGAGGAUAGUGGAAUUCCUAGUGUAGCGGUGGAAUGCGUAGAUAUUAGGAGGAACAUCAGUGGCGAAGGCGACUAUCUGGACAGCAACUGACACUGAGGCACGAAAGCGUGGGGAGCAAACAGGA
This 408-nucleotide ribosomal RNA is filed under the name uncultured bacterium. RNAcentral describes it as "bacterial SSU rRNA". It matches the Rfam family "Bacterial small subunit ribosomal RNA", at positions 355 to 777 of the family's 1533-position model. The record is from RNAcentral.